UCCCUGGUGGUCCAGUGGUUAAGACCUUUUGCUCCUAAUGCAGGUGGUCCAGGUUUGAUCCCUGGUUGGGGAA
RNAcentral lists this transfer RNA (73 nucleotides) under Bos taurus (domestic cattle). It matches the Rfam family "tRNA". Rfam says of the family: Transfer RNA (tRNA) molecules are approximately 80 nucleotides in length. Their secondary structure includes four short double-helical elements and three loops (D, anti-codon, and T loops). Lineage: Eukaryota; Metazoa; Chordata; Mammalia; Artiodactyla; Bovidae. RNAcentral also lists the same sequence under 5 other names. The record is from Rfam by way of RNAcentral.